CACAUUUUCUUUAUGAUCCAGUUUAAAGUUUGCUUCGAUGAUUUUUCAAGACAAUGUAAUGACAGUAAAAAUUAUCCGCCAAUGAGCAAGCUUAUUCAACGGUUUCAACAAAAAAUUUACAUCAUCUUUAAAAAUUUGGGAUUCAAUUUUGAGCGAUAAAAUUGACUGCAUGGAUCAAGGUUGAGGUUAUCAAAGGUAUGAAGUUCACGUCUCGACUAAGCUGGCUCCUCUAUUUUCAAGGUAAUCAAUUCGAUGACAUGUUGCUGAUGAGGAUGGUUAUGAUAAUGAUGUUGUGUACAUGUUUAUGUUGGAAUAAUUCAAUUGAAUUUGCAUUUACAAAAUCAAUUCAAGAAAACAUAAGCAACAAGGCUAUCCAAUUUAAAGACAAUGAUAAUUACCAGCAGCUUAUAUUACACUCACAGACCAUUAAUCUUUCAUUUAGACAGGUAUACCAUUAAAUUCAUUCCUUCUAUAUGGAAACCGCAAUGUUGAUAAUAAACAUGAUCCUGUUGUUAAUGGUUUAACUGGCAAAUUGAGGAUCAACUGGAAACAAGAAGCUUUGUGUAAGGAGUCAAGUCUGUUUGUUAUACACUUUUAAAGUCAAGAUUCAUUGGCAUUGGUUUUUUUUGCUUGUCCUACCUGCUAACUAUGUUUAAUUCAUCACGAUCAGCUGAAAAGAAACUAAAUGUUAAAUAUUCAUCUCAUAUUCAUAACCAAAUGGUUCAAAUUGAAUUGUUGUUUGGUGUGACAUCGUUAAUAUUGCUGUUGUAAUUGAACCUUCGUGAUAACUUACUGUUGAAAGGGUAUUUCUGAAUAUCUGAAGCUCUCAGUUUCUCUUUUAAGACUAACAAUUGGGGCCAAUUUAUUUCAAUUGAUUUUGAUGAUUGUUGCAGGAUUUGCUAUAACGGAUCAAUUUGGAUUCAUUGCAAAACGAUUAUAAUAUUAUAACCAUCUCAUACUUUCUUUUUUUUCCUAAUGCUAAUCAUGAGAGUCAUGAAAAUUCAGUGUGUAAACCUUAAUUGUUAUCAGCUAUUAAGGUUAACGAUGAGCAACGGACUAAUCUUUUGGUUGAACAUUUUUUUUAAGAUGGUUAUAACUAAAAAUCAAUCAAGAAAGUCAAUCUAACCAUUUAAGAAUCUUAAGUCAUGAUGUAAAGUAUGAUAUUUGAUUGCCUUAUUUUGGUUUCAAAAUUGCUCCUCAAUGAUGAUUAUAUUGGUAAUGGUAAAGUUUCACUCUCAUUAUAAAAAUUGUUACAAAUUGCGAUGGACUAAAAUAACCAUGUCGAAAGUGAAAUCGUGUUAUUUCAUGAUAUUUAUGUCUGAGGCCUGAAAUAAUGAAGCAAGUAAUCACAAAAAUUGAAACACAAUCUAACCAAGGUUGUAACCAGAAUUAUAAUGGCAAAAGAAGUCCAUCGAUGGAAACCAAAAGAAGUAUCAUGAACAUUGAAGUGCAAACACAAAUCAAUGUCCAUCAAAAGAUAAUUGCAAAUGUUUGAUUAACGUAUGGAUAAAAAAGUGACAACAAAGUUAAUUUUUAGGAUGACAACGCCAAAGUGGAAAAGAUUGAAAUGGAAAUGAAAAUGGAACCAAGAAAAUGGAUAAAAUAUAAUUAUUUGGAUGUGAUUUAUUGAAUAACCUGAUAUUACACUUUUGAUGGAUAUACU
Tetranychus urticae (two-spotted spider mite) is the source of this 1663-nucleotide long non-coding RNA. RefSeq lists it as uncharacterized. The record is from RefSeq and is a predicted model, not a curated record. Lineage: Eukaryota; Metazoa; Arthropoda; Arachnida; Trombidiformes; Tetranychidae.